GCCUUCGUGAUGUAACUGGAAGCAUAGUCGACUCGUAUUUGAGAGGUCCAAGUUCAAGUCCCGGCGAGGGCA
Molecule: transfer RNA, 72 nt
Filed under: Stegodyphus mimosarum
Lineage: Eukaryota; Metazoa; Arthropoda; Arachnida; Araneae; Eresidae
Rfam family: tRNA
About the family: Transfer RNA (tRNA) molecules are approximately 80 nucleotides in length. Their secondary structure includes four short double-helical elements and three loops (D, anti-codon, and T loops).
Source: Rfam by way of RNAcentral